RNAcentral lists this ribosomal RNA (465 nucleotides) under uncultured bacterium. RNAcentral describes it as "partial 16S ribosomal RNA". It matches the Rfam family "Bacterial small subunit ribosomal RNA", at positions 28 to 507 of the family's 1533-position model. The record is from RNAcentral.
GAUGAACGCUGGCGGCGUGCUUAACACAUGCAAGUCGAACGGAAAGGCUCCUGCUUGCUGGGGUACUCGAGUGGCGAACGGGUGAGUAACACGUGGGUGAUCUGCCCUGCACUUCGGGAUAAGCCUGGGAAACUGGGUCUAAUACCGGAUAGGACGAUGGUUUGGAUGCCAUUGUGGAAAGUUUUUCGGUGUGGGAUGAGCUCGCGGCCUAUCAGCUUGUUGGUGGGGUAAUGGCCUACCAAGGCGUCGACGGGUAGCCGGCCUGAGAGGGUGUACGGCCACAUUGGGACUGAGAUACGGCCCAGACUCCUACGGGAGGCAGCAGUGGGGAAUAUUGCACAAUGGGCGCAAGCCUGAUGCAGCGACGCCGCGUGGGGGAUGACGGCCUUCGGGCUGUAAACUCCUUUCGCUAGGGACGAAGCGUGAGUGACGGUACCUGGAGAAGAAGCACCGGCUAACUACGUG